Molecule: ribosomal RNA, 468 nt
Filed under: uncultured bacterium
Lineage: Bacteria
Description: partial 16S ribosomal RNA
Rfam family: Bacterial small subunit ribosomal RNA
Source: RNAcentral
GACGAACGCUGGCGGCGUGCUUAACACAUGCAAGUCGAACGGAAAGGCCCUGCUUUUGUGGGGUGCUCGAGUGGCGAACGGGUGAGUAACACGUGAGUAACCUGCCCUUGACUUUAGGAUAACUUCAGGAAACUGGGGCUAAUACCGGAUAGGAGCUCCUGCUGCAUGGUGGGGGUUGGAAAGUUUCGGCGGUUGGGGAUGGACUCGCGGCUUAUCAGCUUGUUGGUGGGGUAGUGGCUUACCAAGGCUUUGACGGGUAGCCGGCCUGAGAGGGUGACCGGCCACAUUGGGACUGAGAUACGGCCCAGACUCCUACGGGAGGCAGCAGUGGGGAAUAUUGCACAAUGGGCGGAAGCCUGAUGCAGCAACGCCGCGUGCGGGAUGACGGCCUUCGGGUUGUAAACCGCUUUCGCCUGUGACGAAGCGUGAGGGACGGUAAUGGGUAAAGAAGCACCGGCUAACUACGUG